Molecule: long non-coding RNA, 1929 nt
Organism: Chiroxiphia lanceolata (lance-tailed manakin)
Lineage: Eukaryota; Metazoa; Chordata; Aves; Passeriformes; Pipridae
Exons: 3
Source: RefSeq, a predicted model, not a curated record
AGCAGCCAGGCUGGAGAGGGGAAGGGGAAGUGCUUGCAGAUGCUGUGUGUCAGCUGGUGGGAACCUCCCUCUCCUGCCUGUUCAGAGUCAUCAAGAUCAUGAACUGGAAAAACAAGAAUGUGCCUAUACGGCAGGAGGUUUUGCAGUAGGAAAAGGAAUCUUUUCUUGGAGUCUGGUGAUCCAAAAUCUUUAACCACAGGAGCUACUCUCAAGCUCUCUGUUUUGUGCUCCCCUAACUAGGACAGAGGGCCCUCCAAGAGGAAGGAUGUUGGUGGAUAUGAAUAUGAGUGCUCUCACUGCAAAGAGUCACAGAAUCACAGAAUAUUCUGAGUGGGAAGGGACCUACAAGAAUCACUGAAUCCAGUUCUUAAGUGAAUAGCCCAUACAGGGAUCAAACACGACCUUGGUAUUAUUAGCACCAUGUUCUAACCAAAACCAGGGAGAAUCGAGUACUGUGCGGUGCUAGAAGUGGGACCAGUGGAUUGUAGAAAGCUGUUCUCCCUUCUGCUUGACUCUGCUGAGUCCUCAUCUGAAAUGAUUUGUCCAGUUUUAGGUUCCCCAUUUCCAAACGGAGGAGAACUAAAAGGCGAGAGUCCAGCAGGUGGCUGGCAAGAUGAACAAGGGACUGGAAAACUUGUGCUGUGAAGAGAGUUUGAGGGUAUGGUUAGUUUGAGGGGAAAAGGGCUAAUGUACAUGAGGGGCAGCUACAAAGACAAUGUGCCAAGCUUUUUUCAUGAGCAGCAAAUAACCACAGAUUGUUGCUUGAAAAUCUCCACUUGGACACUAGGAAAAUUCUCAGACAUUAGGAAAAUUCUCACUUAGAUAUUAGGAAAACUCUUGACUAUUGAGUAAUGAAGAAAUGGCACAGGUUACCCAUAGAGUUUCUGGAAUCUCUGUCUGAAAAGCUUGGCUCACCAAAGCCAUGACUAAUUGGACCAACACCAGCAAUAGAUGUGCUGGAAGUGGGAGACUGAACUGAAGAGCUCCAGAUGGUCUGUCACAACAGCAGUUCUGAGGCUUUAGUGUAGAGGUUUCCUCAUCCAUCCAAAGCAGACAAUUGCUCAAAGCUAAUCAGAAAAGGCAUCGCAUCUUCACUCUUGUGCUAAGAAAACAGAAUUUCCCUGGGUUCUGAAAAACAGUAUUUCUCAAGUAGACAACUGGGUAUGAGUCUUUGAUUCCACUGCUUUGUUGGAGACAGUUAAUUUCAUGCAACUUGCCAAAGCAAAUCCCUCCAGAACACCAAUUCCAUAAUAUUGCUUCUUAAGUACAUCAUCUGGAAAUAUCCUCAGCAGCAGGAGGCUUUGGUUGCUUUCAGUCCUUGAAGAACAGCAUGACGUGCAGGCAGAGUCAGAGAGCUGUGGAGCUCACUGGGGCAGCAAAAUGCAUCCCAUCACAUCAGCAAGGAGUUCCACCAGAAAUAGCAUGUGAGGAAAGGGGGUUUUCAGCCAUUUUGAUCCAAGCAUUGGGACCAGCCUGUUCGCAGAGAGAGAGCUGGAAAGUGGCUGAGCUUGAACAGGUUUAUGAAGUAGAUUAUUGCACUGGGUAACCAGGCAUUUGACAUGGUGGAGUAGGAUCAGUGACAUGGCCUAAGAGCAAAGCAGGACUUGGGAUUCCAUCCUGAAGCACAGCACUGUGCCAUGAGCUGCUGAGAACAAGGUGCAGAAAUUCCCCGGGGAAAGAGCUGCUUCCAGGCAACAGGAACUGAAACAGAAGUCAUCCCACGGGAAAGAAAAAGAGCAACACACCUAGAUAUGUCCCAAUGGGUGUGAAAACUAACAUUCAAUUCUGAUUCCCCAAAAUCACAAGCCCAUAAUAGCGGAUGGAGGCCUGUCUUGAAAGGAUCAUGGUGUGGGGACAGUUUUUGGGGAAACUAUGGCUAGACUGACUGAUAAGGUUUAUUAAAAUUCCAGAUUUCUCAGACAAACCGAA